UGGGGGAUAUUGCACAAUGGGGGAAACCCUGAUGCAGCGACGCCGCGUGGAGGAAGAAGGCCCUCGGGUUGUAAACUCCUGUCCAUGGGGACGAUAAUGACGGUACCCGUGGAGGAAGCACCGGCUAACUACGUGCC
RNAcentral lists this ribosomal RNA (137 nucleotides) under uncultured bacterium. RNAcentral describes it as "partial 16S ribosomal RNA". It matches the Rfam family "Bacterial small subunit ribosomal RNA", at positions 355 to 509 of the family's 1533-position model. The record is from RNAcentral.